RNAcentral lists this RNase P RNA (328 nucleotides) under Oxalobacteraceae bacterium CAVE-383. RNAcentral describes it as "Bacterial RNase P class A". It matches the Rfam family "Bacterial RNase P class A". From Rfam's summary of the family: Ribonuclease P (RNase P) is a ubiquitous endoribonuclease, found in archaea, bacteria and eukarya as well as chloroplasts and mitochondria. The record is from Rfam by way of RNAcentral. Lineage: Bacteria; Pseudomonadati; Pseudomonadota; Betaproteobacteria; Burkholderiales; Oxalobacteraceae.
GAUGCAGGCCAGACAGUCGCCGGUCGUUGCGUAAUGCGCGACGGGAGGAAGGUCCGGACUCCAUAGAGCGGGGUGACGGUUAACGGCCGUCCGCUGAAAGCCGCAAGGUAUAAGGCGAGGAACAGGGCCACAGAGACGAGCGUAUUAAGUUACGGUGAAACGCGGUAACCUCCACCUGGAGCAAUUCCAAAUAGGCACGCGUUGAUGUUGCUCGCGGAGCGUGCGGGUAGGAAGCUUGAGCGCUGGAGUAAUCCAGCGCCUAGAGGAAUGACUGUCAUAACAAGGCAACUUGUCGUAACAGAAUCCGGCCUAUCGGCCUGCUUCGAUU